CUCUUAAAUGCAGGUGUAUCAGGUGUACAAAUAAUGUGGGACCAAGGGAGCAUGGUAACCCCUUUCCUUUUGCACCUUUCCCAUUCCUCUGGCAUGUUGGAGUUCUGUACAACAGGGUCUCUCAGGGAAGUUAACCCCUUUCCCUGGUGAAGCAUAUUUACUGCCCAAAAUAAGCUGGGGAGGUUAGCUUGCCCACAGGUUACAGUUGACUUUCAGAUUACCUUGCAGUGCAUUUGGGGACAGAGGGGGAUAGAUGUGCUGCUUGCUUUUUUCUAACCGCCUCCUAUACUAGAAUACUUAGAGCUCUUGGCCCAGUGGUGGCAUAAAACCGCAGAGGGGAAGACAGCUAUGCAAAAGGAUGUGCCAGGCAUUCCUGUGUAGUUUAUCACUUAAUACCUUCUGCAGGCUCAGGGAUUUACUUCUGUUUUCCUUCCGUUUUCCCUGGGCUCCUGUGAUCACGUCAGCCCAGGCUCUGCCAGGUGGACCAGAGUUUGUUUGGGAAGCUGUCAGUCUUGGCAGCAGUCUUGCUCUUGAGAAGGGUGGGAGAGGUUGAAAGUGCACAGAUAGGUCAGGUGAACACACAUCAGCUCUGUGAAGUGUUGACAGACAUACUUUGCUGUUCAGUGUACAAAAUCCUACUCAGCAUGUUUCCGCUGUCAGGAUAAGAAAUCACUGUUGUCAUAUGUUGUCACCUGGAAACAAGGCCAGAGAUUUCAGCAGACAAAAGGAGUCCAGUUACGGAACAUGGGAAGUAAAUAGGAAAGCCAUGUACCUGUGUCUCCGCUAAAGGACAGGGUAAAGCCUCCCCUCUUUCUGUGGCCAGCCUUGCCCUCGCCGAAGGGGAGAGGAAGCCAGCGGUGAGCAGGUUCGGCAGGCACUGCGGAUUUCAGAGGGCAGGCGGUUGAAAAGGGAAGGGCUGCUGGUUCCCUUUCACCUGAGCACAGGCCUCCCAGGGGCCUUGCAGGGUGUGAAGGGCUUUUGUGUGGCUGGGCAGCAGUUUAGAGGGAGAGCACACUCAGAAGCCGUAGCUGUACCUUUGUUUGUAUUCCUGUGCUGGUGAGAGUAGGUUUAUUUUUACCUUAGUGGCUUUUAUUGCAUCGCAGCAGGCUUCAGCAGCAUUUGUUCUGCAAAGGGGUUCUUUGCUGUAGGCUUGCAUACCCUUAAUACAAUGAAGUGUUCAUCUGUGUAAGCAGUGCUGGAAUGGAAAGUAGAACACCAGGAUUUAUCUAGAUACUUGGAAUCUUAAGCUUUUAAAUCAUUAACAAAGCAGUCUGAAAAGCUGUGCAAUUUCCCCCCACAGCAGGGGCAGGGGGAAGAUACUGAAUUAGCCCUAUGAUGUGAUAGGGUCAUUAGAAACUAUAUCGUGAAGCAAGCUCACUGUUGUUGGAGAAAAAAGGCAGCAAAGUUCAGAGCAAAUAACGUUUUUCUCCUGUAUAUUAUUUUUAUUCUAUUUUAAGGGAAAAAUUCCACAUGUUACAAUGUUACAGUGCUCUCCCCCAUGCCUUUGAUGCACCAUACAUUACAUACUUCAUCAAACAAAGCAAGGCCGCCUGUGAACACCUAUCUCAUGUGUAGCUCUGUUGGCCAGAUGCAUGUAUGCAUGGAGGCAUGCAUCAUGUCUGGCCUGCUACUAACCGUGCACAUGGCAGUACUUGUUUUCUUUUUUUCUUCUUUUUUUCCUUCUUCAGUCUAGUCCUGCCUGAUCCCUGCUCUUGGAGCUAUCACAGUCACUUUUAACUAUAGGAUGCACAAUAUGAGGUUUCAGCUUGGAAGAGUCAAAAUUAGUUUGCACUGUAACAAUCAGCUCCAGUGCCAGGAUAAGAAUCACUUCUCAGCCAUGCUUCAAUUUCCUUUCUCCAGCUGCUUAACCACCAGAUUCCUGUAAGCUCCGGUCCUUUGCCUUGCUCUCCAAGUGCCUGAAAGUAAUCCUGCAAGCUGACACAGGUUGUCAUAUGUAAAAGGCCCUUUCCAUCUAGGCAAGGGCAAUGUUAUCAGCCUGAUACAUGAAGAAUUCUGCAUUUUAAAUGCUUCUAAAAACAGAUAGACCAGAACUAAUCUUAGCGGCAGCCUGAGUGCCAACAUACGUCACAUAAUUCAGCUUUAUCACGGUAGAAAUCAUACAAGGUAAAAAGAUGUUUGGAAUCAGCUUGCCGUAUUGAUUUAUACUAACUGGCCUUUGUUCAGCUUUUUGGAUUUUUACUCAUCUCAUGAGUUGUGACCUGCCAAGAACAAGGUCAGGUUUACAGUCAGUUGUAGCUCCAAUAACUUCCUGCGCUAACUAAGUGAGGAUUCUGUAGGUAUGUGAAGGGCUAAGCAGGAACUUUUGGCCAAGAUGCUGGAGUCACACACACAAAAAAAGUGUUUUGGCUGUCAUCCAGGGAUGUUAUCAUGCCCCAAGGAGGCUGUUUAAUCCCAUUUAUGGGACCCUGCAGUUUUAUUGGGUGAAUCAGUGGGAGUAAGUGAAUUUUGUAACUGCAGCUUCAUGCAAUGCUCAACAGGUAAAAAUAGACACUGGGGGAAAAAAAAAACAGUUCCAGCAUAUCUGAGGAAGAGAAAAUGGGACAAUAGGCUUUAUUACAAGAUGACUGCUGAGAGUAUUCCAGGAAAGGAAUAUUACCUAAAGCUUUAAAAAAAAAAAAAAAAACACAAACCAAAAAAACAAAAAAAAGAAACUCGCCAAUAAAACCCCUAAACUUACUGAAGAAGACUUUGGCAAAACCAGGGAACACUAGAUGGGUCUCAGCUGCUCUGGCGUUUCUGGUCACUUUACCUGUGAUUGCAAUGGCUUAUUUUCAGUGAAAGAAAAGCAGGGGGGUUGUGGGGCCCAAGCAUAGGGAGCAAGGUGCGGGAAAGGUGUAAGCUGAAAGUCACAACACGUACAUCUGAGCUUCUCAUCAGUUUAUUAAGUUGCAUCAUCCUUGACAAGCUUUUCACUCCAGGGGAAAAAAAAAACGACAAAAAAACUUCGAAUGAAAAGAUUAAGACAUUGCCAUUGGCCUAUGUCAACACUUCACAAAUAGAUCUGAUUAUUCAGUUUGAACUACCUGUUUUGAAAUUUGCACUUAAUUCCUAAUAAAUGUUUACAGCCUGUGAAGUUUACCAUUUGACCUUUCAGUCAACAGUCUGGAUAGGAAUUUUUUUUUUUUUCCAGGAUGCAGAAAUAAUUUCCCCAGUUCCUGCUGAAGUCUGUGGUAAACUAUCACUAGCUAAACAAUCAGCAGAGAUGCAAAAGUGAGAAAGACUUGUCCUCUUGCCAGCCUGUUUGCUGUGCCAUGGCUUUGCUUAGAGCUUGGGAAAAGACAAGUCAACAGAAUAGCCAAACUCUGGGCUAGCAGAAUAAGUUGUUUAGCACAAAUGGAACAAAUAUGAGCUAUUUUUGGACCUUUUUAGAUACUAAAGUGGAUUAUGCAGCAUACCUGUUUUGGUUUGAUUGUGUAGCUUAUCAGAUACUUAUUGACAGCUGUCAUUUGCAAGCUGGGCCUGAAGUACAUUAAAACAGCCACCUGCACAAGGCAAAAUUCAAUACAAUUAUAUUUAAGUGAAAAAAAAAAAGCAACAACUGAAAACAAACUUGGAUUAACCCCAGGAUUCUUUGCCAUGGAAACAGGUUGCUUAGAAACUACCCCAGAGUUAGUUUGAAAAUGUAAAAGUCAAGUUGUUCUCUAAGCUCCACAGCACUCCAGGUUAUCAGGAGAUAAUCACACGCCUCAGGCCAUUACGGGCACUAGAGGCAGUGGAGUUCUCCAGGGAGCAGUUGUUCUCUGGAGGGUUGCUCUCUCCAGAGCAGCUGGUUGGGAAGAAGUGGGAGAGCAGAGUAUCUUUGCUGUGAAUAUAAGAGGUAAAGUUGUGCAUCUGCUGGAGAAGCAGGAAGCAGCUGAAUAGUAUUCCCUGUUCCCAUGUUUACUUCACAGUGAUUCAUCUUGCUUGCCCGGUCCUAUCCACCCCAGCCAUGAGGACUGAGGGUUGUUUCUAUGCAGCAGCCCACCAUAAGCUUGGGGAAGCCACUGGGACCUGCUGUUUGCUGGCAGGCAGGCAGCCGCACGCUCACACUGUCAUGGCCAAAUGAGCACCAGGAGAGCACUGGCAGCUGGCAGGGCUUAGAGGGCUGCUGCAGGGAUGUUGGCAGGUGCAAGCGCUAGACCCUGCCCCAGCGAGCCUGCCUGCACUUUACUCUAUCUGGCACUCGGGUCAGGACAGUCCCCCCUUUCCCAGUCAGGAGAGCUGCAAUAUCAAAGCCAGGGGAACAGAGAGCCUCACAAGCUCACCUGCACCUGGCCAUCCCCCAGAAAGAAGGCACAUUGCCGAUGCAGUUAUUGCCAAGCACAGCUAUCACUUUGGAGCAAGUUCACGCUGGGUUCCUCUGGAGCAGACAGAUAGCACUACAGGCACCUUCAGGAGGGGACACUGCCAACAGCUUGCAAUGAUAACACCUUCCCUCAUUGCUGUUCAGAGACCUGCACUGAGAGACAGGCAAGUGGUUGAUGGCAAACAAGCAAAAGCAACAACUUUGGCUGCUCAUGGAGUAACAAGUCAUACAGCCACGAGAUAAUUGUGAAGGAACUUCCUGCUUUCUGGCAGGACUGUCUGCAGUCUUUGUUACAGCAGCUCACAGCUGGAAUCACAAGUGUGAAGUGCAUACUCAAAAGUCAGAUCCCUCAUCUUACCUGGGGUGUUGAAA
Molecule: long non-coding RNA, 4678 nt
Organism: Falco peregrinus (peregrine falcon)
Lineage: Eukaryota; Metazoa; Chordata; Aves; Falconiformes; Falconidae
Exons: 2
Source: RefSeq, a predicted model, not a curated record